GUCCACGCCCUAAACGAUGUCUACUAGUUGUCGGGUUUAAUUAACUUGGUAACGCAGCUAACGCGUGAAGUAGACCGCCUGGGGAGUACGGUCGCAAGAUUAAAACUCAAAGGAAUUGACGGGGACCCGCACAAGCGGUGGAUGAUGUGGAUUAAUUCGAUGCAACGCGAAAACCUUACCUACCCUUGACAUGUACGGAAGACCGAAGAGAUUUGGUUGUGCUCGAAAGAGAGCCGUAACACAGGUGCUGCAUGGCUGUCGU
This 262-nucleotide ribosomal RNA is filed under the name uncultured bacterium. Its description in RNAcentral is "partial 16S ribosomal RNA". It matches the Rfam family "Bacterial small subunit ribosomal RNA", at positions 793 to 1055 of the family's 1533-position model. The record is from RNAcentral.